GUGGGAGCGAGCCUGCUCGCGAUUGCGGCGGGUCAGCCAACCUUUAUUUGACUGACACACCGCAAUCGCGAGCAGGCUCGCUCCCAC
This 87-nucleotide unclassified non-coding RNA is filed under the name Pseudomonas corrugata. The record is from RNAcentral. Lineage: Bacteria; Pseudomonadati; Pseudomonadota; Gammaproteobacteria; Pseudomonadales; Pseudomonadaceae.